GUUGUCCUACGGGAGGCAGCAGUGAGGAAUAUUGGUCAAUGGUCGGGAGACUGAACCAGCCAAGCCGCGUGAGGGAGGAAGGUACAGAGUAUCGUAAACCUCUUUUGUCAGGGAACAAAGACUGGGACGCGUCCCCGGAUGAGUGUACCUGAAGAAAAAGCAUCGGCUAACUCCGUGCCAGCAGCCGCGGUAAUACGGAGGAUGCGAGCGUUAUCCGGAUUUAUUGGGUUUAAAGGGUGCGCAGGCGGUCUGUUAAGUCAGCGGUCAAAGCCCGGGGCUCAACCCCGGCCCGCCGUUGAAACUGG
Molecule: ribosomal RNA, 305 nt
Filed under: uncultured bacterium
Lineage: Bacteria
Description: bacterial SSU rRNA
Rfam family: Bacterial small subunit ribosomal RNA
Source: RNAcentral